Molecule: ribosomal RNA, 1254 nt
Filed under: uncultured fungus
Lineage: Eukaryota; Fungi
Description: eukaryotic LSU rRNA
Rfam family: Eukaryotic large subunit ribosomal RNA (bases 605-1254)
Source: RNAcentral
CUUGGUCAUUUAGAGGAAGUAAAAGUCGUAACAAGGUUUCCGUAGGUGAACCUGCGGAAGGAUCAUUAACGAGUUAGGGUCUUCUAGGCCCGACCUCCCAACCCUUUGUUUACUGAACCAUUGUUGCCUCGGUGGGUCCGACUUACGACCGCCGGGGGAUCGCCGCGAGGCGCCCCCUGGCCAGCGCCCACCGAUAGCCCAACCUUUAAAACCCUUUGUGAAUCGUGUCUUAUGUCUAAAUUUAUGAUUAAACAAUCAAAACAAAACUUUCAACAACGGAUCUCUUGGUUCUGGCAUCGAUGAAGAACGCAGCGAAAUGCGAUAAGUAAUGCGAAUUGCAGAAUUCCAGUGAGUCAUCGAAUCUUUGAACGCACAUUGCGCCCUUUGGUAUUCCGAAGGGCAUGCCUGUUCGAGCGUCAUUAUCACCCCUCAAGCCCCGUGCUUGGUGUUGGAUGGCCGGUCGAGGUUCGCCCCGACCCCUCCUAAAGACAAUGACGGCGACCUGUGGUUCCCCCGGUACACUGAGCUUUUCGCAGAGCACGUACCGGACGAGGGCGCCCGGGUCACGGUCCCCUCCUCCUCGUGAGGAAAUAUUUUUCAAGGUUGACCUCGGAUCAGGUAGGAAUACGCGCUGAACUUAAGCAUAUCAAUAAGCGCAGGAAAAGAAACCAACAGGGAUUGCCUCAGUAACGGCGAGUGAAGCGGCAACAGCUCAAAUUUGAAAUCUGGCCUCUCGGGGUCCGAGUUGUAAUUUGUAGAGGAUGUUUUGGGUACCGCCCCGGUCUAAAUUUCUUGGAACAGAAUGUCAAAGAGGGUGAGAAUCCCGUCUUGGACCGGCGGUAGGGCCUGUGUAAAACUCCUUCGACGAGUCGAGUUGUUUGGGAAUGCAGCUCAAAAUGGGUGGUAAAUUUCAUCUAAAGCUAAAUAUUGGCCAGAGACCGAUAGCGCACAAGUAGAGUGAUCGAAAGAUGAAAAGCACUUUGAAAAGGGAGUUAAACAGUAUGUGAAAUUGUUGAAAGGGAAGCGCUUGCAACCAGACUUGAGCGCGGCGGUUCCCCUGGCCUUUUGGCCAGGUUACUCCGUCGUGUCCAGGCCAACAUCGGUUUCGAGGGUCGGUCAAAGGCUCCGGGAAUGUAUCUACCCACGGGUAGACUUAUAGACCGGGGUGUCAUGCGACCUCUCGGGACCGAGGAACGCGCUUCGGCUCGGAUGUUGGCGUAAUGGUUGUCAGCGACCCGUCUUGAAACACGGACC